GGGCGGGCCAAAACUCCCAGGGGGGGCGUGGCUUGUAAAGGAGGCCCCUCCCCCUCCUCUGUAUAUCUGGGUCUGGGGGGCUCCCAAGAGUGGCGGAUCUUUAUUGGGUGGGGGGGUUGUUUUAAGCACUGUUAGGCUGUUCUAUGGGCCGGGCUCGGGAGGUCCAUAGGUCUUACGAAUGGGGUCUUCGUGCCUAUGGUGCCUGCUUUCACAGUGAUUUGGGGGGGGGUCUUAGUGGUCUCAAUGGGGGGGGGUCCCUCAUGGGGGGGGCUAUGGGGGUCCUAAAGCUCCAUAGGGGAUAAUGGGGGGGUCUUAAGACUCCAUAGUGGUGUAUGGGGGGGUCCCAGGGCUCCAUAGGGAACAAUGGGGGCAGGGGUCUUAAGGGGGGUCCCACAUCUCCAUAGGGGUCUCAGUGAGUCCAUAGGGGUCCGGGGGGGUCCCACAGCCCCAUAGGGCUCCAUGGCUGCUCCCGGUGCCAUUCCCGGUUCCGAUCCCGGUUCAGAUCCCGGUUCCAUUCCCCAUUCAGAUCCCGGUUCGGAUCCCGGUUCGGAUCCCGGUUCGGAUCCCGGUUCCAUUCCCCGUUAUUCGGAUCCCGGUUCGAUUCCCCCUUCAGUUCCAUCCCGUUCAGUUCCCGGUUCCAUUCCCCGUUUAACUCCCGUUUCGGCUCCCGUUUCGGCUCCCCGUUCACCUCGCUCCCGUUCGCCUCCAUCCCGUCGUUCCUCCGGUUCCAUCCCGUCUCCAUCCGGUUCCGUUCCGUCCGGUUCCCCCCUGUUUCCGUUCCUGAGGCUGGCGGCCAACACGAUCCCCUGCACGGCGGCGUAGGCGGCCCCGAGCGGCAGCAUCAGCUCCUGCAGCACCAACCGGAGCCCGGCGGCCGCCAUGAUGAACGCGGCCAGGCCUUGACACCAGGCCCCGGCCGCUCCGUUCAACCCUAUGGCCGUUAA
Molecule: long non-coding RNA, 944 nt
Filed under: Coturnix japonica (Japanese quail)
Lineage: Eukaryota; Metazoa; Chordata; Aves; Galliformes; Phasianidae
Description: lncRNA (ENSCJPG00005002587.1)
Source: RNAcentral